RNAcentral lists this ribosomal RNA (460 nucleotides) under uncultured bacterium. RNAcentral describes it as "partial 16S ribosomal RNA". It matches the Rfam family "Bacterial small subunit ribosomal RNA", at positions 338 to 795 of the family's 1533-position model. The record is from RNAcentral.
CCUACGGGCGGCAGCAGUGAGGAAUAUUGGUCAAUGGGCGCGAGCCUGAACCAGCCAAGCCGCGUGAAGGAUGACGGUCCUACGGGUUGUAAACUUCUUUUAUAAAGGAAUAAAGUGAGGCACGUGUGCCUUUUUGUAGGUACUUUAUGAAUAAGGAUCGGCUAACUCCGUGCCAGCAGCCGCGGUAAUACGGAGGAUCCGAGCGUUAUCCGGAUUUAUUGGGUUUAAAGGGAGAGUAGAUGGGGUGUUAAGUCAGUUGGGAAAGUUUGCGGCUCAACCGUAAGAUUGCAAUUGAUACUGGCUGCCUUGAGUACAGUAGAGGUAGGCGGAAUUCGUGGUGUAGCGGUGAAAUGCUUAGAUAUCACGAAGAACUCCGAUUGCGAAGGCAGCUUACUAAACUGCCACUGACACUGAGGCUCGAAAGUGUGGGUAUCAAACAGGAUUAGAUACCCGGGUAGUC